This 99-nucleotide ribosomal RNA is filed under the name Stenotrophomonas daejeonensis. The record is from RNAcentral. Lineage: Bacteria; Pseudomonadati; Pseudomonadota; Gammaproteobacteria; Lysobacterales; Lysobacteraceae.
AUCAGCGCUGUGGAACCACCCGAUCCCAUCCCGAACUCGGAAGUGAAACGCAGCUGCGCCGAUGGUAGUGUGGCUCAAGCCAUGCGAGAGUAGGUCAUC